UACGUAGGGCGCAAGCGUUGUCCGGAAUUAUUGGGCGUAAAGGGCUCGUAGGCGGUUUGUCGCGUCGGGAGUGAAAACCCAGGGCUUAACCCUGGGCUGGCUUCCGAUACGGGCAGACUAGAGGUAUGCAGGGGAGAACGGAAUUCCUGGUGUAGCGGUGAAAUGCGCAGAUAUCAGGAGGAACACCGGUGGCGAAGGCGGUUCUCUGGGCAUUACCUGACGCUGAGGAGCGAAAGUGUGGGGAGCGAACAGG
RNAcentral lists this ribosomal RNA (253 nucleotides) under uncultured bacterium. Its description in RNAcentral is "partial 16S ribosomal RNA". It matches the Rfam family "Bacterial small subunit ribosomal RNA", at positions 524 to 776 of the family's 1533-position model. The record is from RNAcentral.